AUUGAACGCUGGCGGCAGGCCUAACACAUGCAAGUCGAGCGGAGCGGCGGACGGGUGGGUAAUGCCUAGGAAUCUGCCUGGUAGUGGGGGAUAACGUCAGGAAAGGGGCGCUAAUACCGCAUACUAUCAGAUGAGCCUAGGUCGGAUUAGCUAGUUGGUGGGUUAAAGGCCUACCAAGGCGACGAUCCGUGACUGGUCUGAGAGGAUGAUCAGGCACACUGGAACUGAGACACGGUCCAGAUCCCGACGGGAGGCAGCAGUGGGGAAUAUGGGACAAUGGGCGAAAGCCUGAUCCAGCCAUGCCGGGUGUGUGAAGAAGGUCUUCGGAUGUUAAAGCAUGUUAAGUUGGGAGGCGUUACCAACAGAAUAAGCACCGGCUAACUUCGUGCCAGCAGCCGCGGUAAUAC
This 407-nucleotide ribosomal RNA is filed under the name uncultured bacterium. RNAcentral's name for it is "partial 16S ribosomal RNA". It matches the Rfam family "Bacterial small subunit ribosomal RNA", at positions 30 to 526 of the family's 1533-position model. The record is from RNAcentral.